GUGCCAGCCGCCGCGGUAAUACGUAGGGUGCGAGCGUUGUCCGGAAUUAUUGGGCGUAAAGGGCUCGUAGGCGGUUUGUCGCGUCGGGAGUGAAAACACCGGGCUUAACUCGGUGCUGGCUUUCGAUACGGGCAGACUAGAGGUAUUCAGGGGAGAACGGAAUUCCUGGUGUAGCGGUGAAAUGCGCAGAUAUCAGGAGGAACACCGGUGGCGAAGGCGGUUCUCUGGGAAUGUCCUGACGCUGAGGAGCGAAAGUGUGGGGAGCGAACAGGAUUAGAUACCCCCGUAGUCC
RNAcentral lists this ribosomal RNA (292 nucleotides) under uncultured bacterium. Its description in RNAcentral is "partial 16S ribosomal RNA". It matches the Rfam family "Bacterial small subunit ribosomal RNA", at positions 505 to 796 of the family's 1533-position model. The record is from RNAcentral.